Molecule: transfer RNA, 82 nt
Filed under: Auxenochlorella protothecoides
Lineage: Eukaryota; Viridiplantae; Chlorophyta; Trebouxiophyceae; Chlorellales; Chlorellaceae
Rfam family: tRNA
About the family: Transfer RNA (tRNA) molecules are approximately 80 nucleotides in length.
Source: Rfam by way of RNAcentral
GCGGGCGUGGUGGAAUGGUAGACACACUAGAUUUAGGUUCUAGCGAUUUAGAGUCUUGCGGGUUCAAGCCCUGCCGCCCGUA